UCAAAGCCGUCUGGAGAGCCGCCACCACCGUGGCGCACCGAAGGAGCAAACCGCGCGCCAGUUGGGCGGCGCGGUGAAUCUCUCAGGUACCAAGGACAGGGGGAGCGGC
RNAcentral lists this non-coding RNA (109 nucleotides) under Acidovorax carolinensis. RNAcentral's name for it is "Acidovorax sp. NA3 Glycine riboswitch aptamer". It matches the Rfam family "Glycine riboswitch aptamer". From Rfam's summary of the family: This family represents the bacterial glycine riboswitch. Glycine riboswitches usually consist of two metabolite-binding aptamers domains with similar structures in tandem. The record is from Rfam by way of RNAcentral. Lineage: Bacteria; Pseudomonadati; Pseudomonadota; Betaproteobacteria; Burkholderiales; Comamonadaceae. RNAcentral also lists the same sequence under 1 other name.